Long non-coding RNA from Diabrotica virgifera virgifera (western corn rootworm), 383 nucleotides. RefSeq lists it as uncharacterized. The transcript has 2 exons. The record is from RefSeq and is a predicted model, not a curated record. NCBI's taxonomy places the organism in Eukaryota, Metazoa, Arthropoda, Insecta, Coleoptera, Chrysomelidae.
GGUAAAUCCAUUUUAAAUUAGAGGAAAACUGUUGAUUUGUAUGUAAAAUAGAAGACAAAGACAAGUUUAAAUAAAGACAAGUUAGCUAAUGAAACAGAUGCAGUGAUAUGACAAACACCUAGAAGAUGGAAUCCUGUGUUCUCAAAGAAAAAGCUAGUUCCAGAAAUAAGCUACCAAUAAUAAACUAGAGAAUGUAUUACAAGAAAGAACAACGCUAAUACCCAACAUAGCUCAAUUGCUUCAGAUAGAAAAAGAGGAGGAAAGGGUAGAACACAAGCGUGCCAGAGAAAAUUAAAGGGCAGAAGAGACACAAAAAUUCAUUGAUUUAUUAAAUUUAAUAAUUAAAUUAUACAAAGGACAAUUAAAUAAAGAAUAAAAAAUUA